UCGAUCCAGAACCUUCAUGGUGAAACGGAGACCAUUGGCUGAGAGAACAAGUGUUGAGGAAUCACUCUAUGAUCGUUGUUUAGUUCGAAGUUUCAAAAUCGAGUCUCAUCAAACAAGGUAAUGCAUCUUACCUUGAAGAUGCAUCUGCUGCGAGCGAAGGAUAUAUUGGUGAAUCAGAAUUGAGGGAGUAACUCCAAAGCUCAAAGCAUGGGACGUACUGGAAGAUGAAAGUUUCAUCUAUACAGCAUGAAGAGGAAACUGGACUGUAAAUCCGGGAGGAAGAGGGUAGCAACAAAGCUCCAGCACAAACCGAGGAUCAAGAAAUAGCAUCAAAAAGCAAAUUAGAUACCUUUGCUUCAUUUUGGCAAAUGAUAAUGUAUUGAUGGAGAUGUUACAAUUGACAUAAAAGCAUGAUGGAUGCAAUGGCAAAAGUGUUGCCAAGUUCGGCAUUCUGUAUAGGUCGGCAGUAAGGCUGUAUAUGCUCAAUGUAACAAAGAGUUCAGAAGCUAAAUGUCUUUGAUCUAUAAGAUGGACAUAAACACAAGGUGGACCACUUUAAGGAUACCAAGGUGGAAGCUAAUUCAAACCUAAUCACAAUAAAGAAUGCCGAUGACCAUUUUCUUCUUCACAAACUUUAGCAUCACAAAACGUGAGAUAAAAUAGGUUGAAAUCAUGACAAAAGUUCCUCGUCAAGUAUAUAACAUACUACAUCAUUGAACUUGCAUUGCAUCACAUGUUCAUUUGACAUUCAAAGGAAAAUUUGGGCCCACAUAAUGAUAGUGUUCAUAAUAUUUACGGCUACUAAUGCAAGCUACUAAGUUCAAACUUUGAGAAAUGGAAACCAAUGAUAAUUAUUUUCUUUUCUUUUAUAAGUAAACGCACUGGACUAAUGUGGUUCCUAGAGAAUGCAAGCCACUACAAUGUCAUCUAAAAUACGUGGAAAACAAUUUAAUAAAAAGCAGAA
Syzygium oleosum is the source of this 964-nucleotide long non-coding RNA. RefSeq lists it as uncharacterized. The record is from RefSeq and is a predicted model, not a curated record. The transcript is spliced from 3 exons. Lineage: Eukaryota; Viridiplantae; Streptophyta; Magnoliopsida; Myrtales; Myrtaceae.